AAAAAUCCAAAACAUCCCAGAUUUGGCCCGCACAAGAGAGUGGAAGAUCCACAACUUUUGAGGGAUGAACGCAAACUACAGCGCACAGCUAACUCUGGAACAAUCGCAUGGCGGCUUGUUUGUUCUGGAUAGAAUGGGAAUGUAAAGCCUGGAAACGUACAGGAAUAGCCACUGCGGACAGAGCAUUCGUUGGUGUCAGGAGUAAAACCUCCGCACUGUGAGAACUGCAGACCUGUAGUUCAACGGGACAAGCCAGGGGCCUGGCACUAGUUAAGCAUCGCAGACAUGUAGCUGCUCUUUGAAUAUGAAUAUGCAUUAUACUAAUGGAGAGGAUAAAAAAAAAAGUGCGUCCAUGUACAUAAAAACAAACGUUUAACGGCAUUAUUAUCUUAUUUUAACAUCAAAACAUUCAUGAAAUACUUCUUUGUUGUUUAGAAAGUUGCAUGUGGGUUAAAAGACGGGAGAUUUUAAUGUACAUUUGACUUAUAAAAAUAAAACAAGACAGAUCAUUAUUUGGGGGGAAUAAAUGCGGGACAAUUUAUUUACUUAUGCAUUAAUUCACUGCAAGCAGUCUUUAUUUGUGUACAGACUUUAUUUACUUACAUAUUUAUACUUUUCAUUUAGGUGCAAUUUAUUCAUGAAAUCCACUUUGAUUCUUAUGGGUUCUGUAUAAUUUCAUUCGUGCAAAUUUUAUUUAUGACUCUCUCUCUCUCUCUCUAUUUAUAUAUAUAUAUUAUCUAUAUAUAUAUAUAUAAAGUCACAGUUUUAUAUACAAACUAGCGGCUGACGCUAGUUUGUAAAACUGUGACUUUAGUUUGUGACACGCUUUCUUUCCAAAACGAUGAAGGAGAGGAGUGGAACCCUUCAAUAACUUGAUCACUCACAAAAUAAACACCUACACUUAAAAAAAGCAAUUAUUGACCUUCAGACGGGGAUUGUUGCCCACAUUCGUGCAGCAUUCAGGACUUCGCUGAUGGGAACUCAGCUGCAUUCAAUUAGCCUUCAUCUAAUUUAGCUGAGGCCCUAAUUGCGCUCAGGGUGGUAGUUGUUUGCGCUAAGCCCCGUUUGAGGCUUCUGUUGAGAGAAGUAGGAGAAGAAGUAAAAGAAGAAGAAGAAGAAAGAACAAUCUCAAUUCAAAUGAGACUUAUCUACGCCACAACGAUCAGACGGAUUAAGACUUAUUAAAACCUAUAAAGGGCUAAAAGCAGAAGAUUCCACAGAUACAAAGUCCACAGCGUGGCGACUCCAGAGGAUUUCUCUGCAAUCACAAUGAAAUUACGAAGAAAAAAAAUACAAACAAAUUAUAUAGACAUCAUGUAGCUGCAGUGCAAUGUGCGAGGAAUAAAUAAAAGGGGAAAUGAUUCGUGUGAAGGCAAAUAUUUAGUCAAAAAAGGGUCAUCAUAAUUUAGGCAAUUUGGAGAACCCAUGCAAUAAGAUUCAAUUAUUAAUUGCUGAAUAGAACUCCAAACAUCUGGAUUGCUUUACGAUGUUUAACUUCAGUUUCAGAUCGUAUUUGUUUUGUCUUAUUUUCACAUUUUAACAGGUGUAAAUCUCAGCUUAAAAAUCUUAGUCAGUUACCGACUGACUUUUGUUUCUGUUUCCACUCCUACAUCCUGCCUUUUAACCCACUCUUAGCUUCUAAUAUUUUCUAUGUCGGCUGCCAUGCUCUUGGGCGACCCAGGAUAAGAAAAGAAAAAAAGAA
Molecule: long non-coding RNA, 1702 nt
Organism: Poecilia latipinna (sailfin molly)
Lineage: Eukaryota; Metazoa; Chordata; Actinopteri; Cyprinodontiformes; Poeciliidae
Exons: 2
Source: RefSeq, a predicted model, not a curated record